CUCAGACAAAUUUUCGUUGUGCAAAUAAGCGAUGUAGAUUAAGCAUUAUAAAUACACAAUAUAAACAUACGAUCCUCGCACGUCUCUAGACUCUAGCAAUAUCUAUAUAAGUAACAAUGGAUUAUGAUAUAAAUAUACAUUAAGUAAUACCCUAAAUCCUAAUGCAUUAAACGAUUGAACGGAUCUUCAAAUGUAUUGUUGAAUAAAAAAAACGUGCUAUUUAUAUCAAAGCCAGACAAAGGAGGUCUUUCAUCGUGGAAAAUUGAAGAAAAUGUGAUUGUGCGCAUUCUAGAACUAUAGUACAAGCUUUCUCAAAACAGUUUUUGAACUUUUUGAACAUCGUAUAUAUAACUCUGUCUUUUAUAGCAGGUAAUACUCAC
Molecule: non-coding RNA, 380 nt
Organism: Paramuricea clavata
Lineage: Eukaryota; Metazoa; Cnidaria; Anthozoa; Malacalcyonacea; Plexauridae
Source: the annotation of a GenBank genome assembly